UUUGACUCUGACAUGGUGUUUGCUGAUGG
RNAcentral lists this non-coding RNA (29 nucleotides) under Mus musculus (house mouse). The record is from RNAcentral. Lineage: Eukaryota; Metazoa; Chordata; Mammalia; Rodentia; Muridae.